RNAcentral lists this ribosomal RNA (504 nucleotides) under Salmonella enterica subsp. enterica serovar Typhimurium. Its description in RNAcentral is "partial 23S ribosomal RNA". It matches the Rfam family "Bacterial large subunit ribosomal RNA", at positions 37 to 580 of the family's 2925-position model. The record is from RNAcentral. Lineage: Bacteria; Pseudomonadati; Pseudomonadota; Gammaproteobacteria; Enterobacterales; Enterobacteriaceae.
CAGUCAGAGGCGAUGAAGGGCGUGCUAAUCUGCGAUAAGCGCCGGUAAGGUGAUAUGAACCGUUAUAACCGGCGAUACCCGAAUGGGGAAACCCAGUGUGAUUCGUCACACUAUCAUUAACUGAAUCCAUAGGUUAAUGAGGCGAACCGGGGGAACUGAAACAUCUAAGUACCCCGAGGAAAAGAAAUCAACCGAGAUUCCCCCAGUAGCGGCGAGCGAACGGGGAGGAGCCCAGAGCCUGAAUCAGCAUGUGUGUUAGUGGAAGCGUCUGGAAAGGCGCGCGAUACAGGGUGACAGCCCCGUACACAAAAGCGCAUGUGCUGUGAGCUCGAUGAGUAGGGCGGGACACGUGGUAUCCUGUCUGAAUAUGGGGGGACCAUCCUCCAAGGCUAAAUACUCCUGACUGACCGAUAGUGAACCAGUACCGUGAGGGAAAGGCGAAAAGAACCCCGGCGAGGGGAGUGAAAAAGAACCUGAAACCGUGUACGUACAAGCAGUGGGAGC